RNAcentral lists this ribosomal RNA (541 nucleotides) under uncultured Alphaproteobacteria bacterium. RNAcentral describes it as "bacterial SSU rRNA". It matches the Rfam family "Bacterial small subunit ribosomal RNA", at positions 86 to 726 of the family's 1533-position model. Lineage: Bacteria; Pseudomonadati; Pseudomonadota; Alphaproteobacteria. The record is from RNAcentral.
UCCAUAUGAGUGGCAACGGGUGAGUAAUAUGUGGGUAUCUGCCUUUUGGUUUGGAAUAACGCGGGGAAAAAAAACUUGUGCUAUACGAUAAGCCCUACCAAAAAACCGGGGAAAGUUUUACGCAAGAUACCGACUGAUACAUGUAGUAAGGUUCCAGCACGAUCAAUAGCUGUCUUAAGGAAGACAGCACUUGGAUGAGAACGGCCAGAUCCUACGGAGGCAGAGGGGGAUUGCCAUGGGGAACCUGAUGCGGAUGCCGGUGAGUGAGAAUGCUUUGGGUUGUAAAACUCUUCGUCGGGAAGAAAAUGACUGUCCCGAAUCAGAGGUCGGCUAACUUCUGCCAGCAGCGCGGUAAUACGAAUGGCCUUGCGUAGUUCGGAGUUACUGGGGUUUAAGAGUUCGUAGGGUGGUGGAAAAGUUAGUGGUGAAUCCCAGAGCUUUACUCUGGAACUGCCAUUAAACUUUCAGCUAGAGUUGAUAACGAAGCGAAUUCCAGUGUAAGGGAAAUCGAAAUUUUAAAAGAUUACCAUGCGAAGGGCGU